RNAcentral lists this long non-coding RNA (460 nucleotides) under Homo sapiens (human). Its description in RNAcentral is "HSALNT0325404". The record is from RNAcentral. Lineage: Eukaryota; Metazoa; Chordata; Mammalia; Primates; Hominidae.
AGUGCAAAGACACAGAGGUGGCGAUGAGCCCCAUCUGGUUGGGACAGAGUGAAAAAGGGGUUCAGCUGGAGGGGCCUGAGAGGUGAGGGUGGCAGAACGUGUGGAGGUGUAAGCUCAGCAGAUGGUGGACACCCUGGAGGCCAUUGUGAGGCUCUGGUUCUCCCUCUGUGUGAUUUCAAGAUCCAUUGCAUGGUUGCAGCUGAGAAGUGAACAAGCCUUAUGACCUGGUUUCUCUUGAAGAGGAUCUUUCCGAUAUACAGGGAGUCCACGGAGCCUCCCCUGCAAGCAUCAGUACAGAAGUCGAUGAUAAUCUGGAUGCAAGCCCAGGAGUGUGGAGUCCACUGACUCAGAAGACCUGCAUCUAAGGAAUUGGCUGUUCUUAUCCUUAAGAAUGAUGACUGUGUUUCCAAUUCCAGUAGACCCUUUGAUGCGUUCUGAAUAAAUAUUCCUUUUGGAAUUG